RNAcentral lists this unclassified non-coding RNA (525 nucleotides) under Hevea brasiliensis (rubber tree). The record is from RNAcentral. Lineage: Eukaryota; Viridiplantae; Streptophyta; Magnoliopsida; Malpighiales; Euphorbiaceae.
GACAGAGAAGCAACUGAAGGAGCUUGGAGACAAGGUGCCUGGGCCAGUGAAGGAGAAGGUUGAAUCGAAACUUGGGGAAUUGAAGGAAGCAAUUUCAGGUGGCUCAACCGAAGCCAUUAAGGAAGCUAUGGCUGCUCUAAAUCAAGAGGUGAUGCAGCUGGGACAAUCCUUGUACAAUCAGCCGGGUGCUGCCCCUGGAGCAGGUGCUGGGAGCGAAUCAGGGCCAUCGGAAUCAACGGGCAAAGGACCUGAAGGAGAUGUCAUCGAUGCCGACUUUACUGACAGCAAAUGAGAAGAUUAAAAUUGGGUUUCCCCCUUUUCUGAAUAGAAAAUUUUGCUCUCAUGGGCUCGGAUUUGUAUUUUGAUUUGAUUUUUGCGGGGCAGGAUCGGAUUGGGGUGUUGGUUUGAGGAUUUGUUGAUAAGCCACUGUCCCAUGGCUCGGAUUUGUAUUUUGAUUUGAUUUUUGCGGGGCAGGAUCGGAUUGGGGUGUUGGUUUGAGGAUUUGUUGAUAAGCCACUGUCCCAU